CACAGUUUCGAGAAAAAAAAAGAGACGAAAUUUCAGAUAUUUUUUAUUAUAGAAAACUGAUUGAAUCACUGGUCUGGAAAGACGUACCUGGCUGGGCUGCAAGAGAAAUAGCAGAACAAAUUCAAAUGUGGUCGUGGUGUGAAUUUUGGUGUCCUGUCGUUGACUCCCCAUGCUCUUCAGCUGUUUCUCAGAUUUCAGGUCUGAGCCAGCCAUCGUAACCACAAGAUGUGCAAGUUUUGAUAACUUGACUUUCAUCAUCAAAGAUCUAUGCAUCAUCAAUUGGAUAAACAGUUCCCAGUUUAAUUGGAAAAACUCUUUCCUCGUGUAACCCAAUGUGUUAAGGCGAGUGUAUAUUCAAACCCCCUUUUCCUAUCCUGCCUGGCGUCAACUUACUGAGGAUGGAGCAUUUGUGGAUGCCUGGCUGUGGAUUCCCCGGGCUC
Molecule: long non-coding RNA, 440 nt
Organism: Daphnia pulex (common water flea)
Lineage: Eukaryota; Metazoa; Arthropoda; Branchiopoda; Diplostraca; Daphniidae
Exons: 3
Source: RefSeq, a predicted model, not a curated record